This is a long non-coding RNA of Dama dama (fallow deer), 1264 nucleotides long. RefSeq lists it as uncharacterized. The transcript is spliced from 4 exons. NCBI's taxonomy places the organism in Eukaryota, Metazoa, Chordata, Mammalia, Artiodactyla, Cervidae. The record is from RefSeq and is a predicted model, not a curated record.
CAGGGGACCUGAGGCAGCUGCAGGCCCGGAAGAGGAGGCCGCUGAAGGGCCGGUGGGUCUCCCCAGGUGCAGGGGUAGCAAUAGAGGGAGUAGGCGUCGGGUGAUGGAGAGCCACUGCCACUUCGGGACCCCGCCCUGCGGACAGAAAGACAGACACAGACGGCAACCUGCACUCCAGGAAAAACUAAACUGAACUACACAGAAAAUUUUCAAUGGCAAGGAGUACUCCAUCCUGCGGCAGAUCUCAGUCUGGAAGGAAAGAGAGCCACACUCCCACACAGUCAUCAUCUAGCCUGUCAGACUCAUCAAGAGUCCAUAACACGCACAACUGUCUCCUGUGGCCUUCGAAAUCCAUCACGAAUGUAAGAAAAAAGAGAGAAGUAGAUAAAACAACAACAACAAAAAGUUAAGUAGACAUAUUCCUUCCUCAAGGAAAAGGAGAGAAAGAAGAAAAAGGUGUAAUGAGAAGAACAGAAGGAAAAGUAUCUGCCAUCUGGAUCCCUUUCUUAUGGACUCCAUGGGACAUUAAUAGGUGCUGUCCAUAGUCUGUAGACAAGCUCUGUUGGAAACUUGUAUUAAACCCAGAUAAAUGGGUUUCUGACCUGCAGGACUUCUCAGAGCCUUCAUUAUAAUGGAUACUCUGUGGCUCCAGUGAGGAUGGAGAGAGCUGGAAUCACAGACUGUAUUUUCUAACCUUUCUUUACCCUAGACCCUUCUUUUCACCAGGCAACUUAAAGGAGCCUUUGUUCUGUGGAACCUUCUGGGUAACACUGUUCUAGUCUCAUCCCAUACUCUAUGAGGCUAGGGACCUGCUGGUAUCUUUGUCCCACAACUCCCAAGGCCACUGUCCUUGGUACCCCUUCCUACAAAAGCGCCUGCGUCUCUUUCCUCUUUUUUUUCUCCCCCCUCCCCACCUCUGGCCACCCUUUGUCGCACACCUCAGCGACUGGAGACCGAGAUGCCAUGGCAGGGGCCCAGGAGAACGAACUUUCAAAACCCAAACCCUGGCUGGCCCCUGGCUGGCCACCUCCCGGGAAGGCCGGGCCCCCAGAGCUCAGCGGCCGGCCUCCCACCCUCCUCGCCUCCACCGCGUCCACUCACCGCCUCGGAUUUGGGAGGCACGGGAGGCGGCGCCGCCUCGGGCUCCAGGCGGGGCGGCCCGGCGGCUCCGAAGGAGAUGAGAUCGGGCCCCGGGAGCGGCCGGGUCCUGCUCUCGGCUAGGCCCUCGGCCGCCUGGUGCGUCCACAGCUCCUCGUAGGGGAUC